RNAcentral lists this ribosomal RNA (2073 nucleotides) under Triticum aestivum (bread wheat). Its description in RNAcentral is "partial small subunit ribosomal RNA". The record is from RNAcentral. Lineage: Eukaryota; Viridiplantae; Streptophyta; Magnoliopsida; Poales; Poaceae.
AUGGCGUUCCCCUCCCUGCCCCCCAACCCCUCGUCGGCGGCGGCGGCGUGGCGGCGGCGCUCCGGCCUCCUCGCGCUCCUCCUGCUCCUCCUCUUCCUCUCCUUCCAGGUCGUCGUCCACGUCCCCUCCGUCAGAUCGGCGGUGUCGCGGCGGCUCUUCUCCGACCACCGCCACCGAGCCGCCCGCGAGGCCGGUCACCGGAGCUGCCCUGGGUGCGGCGAUCUGCAGGACGUGGAGGAUUUCAACAAGACCGUCGCGUACACCGACCAGGAUGGCCGGAUCAAGCUGUUCAAGGUCACCGCCAGGGAGUUCGCGUCCUCCUCUAUCUGGGAGAACCCUCUGCUGCCCAGAGAUAGCCAGCCGCCUGCCGAAAUUCAAGAGACCGCGGAGGAGCAGCCACUGGACACCGGAUCAGAGGCCAACAAUCUUUCAAGUGCAGCGGUUUUGGCAGCCCAAAGACCCGAUCCGAUAAAGCUAAAGCGAGAGGUAUUUCGACGUAGAAGAAAGGAGCAGCGGAUUCAAGAGUUGCUUCAGAUGGACAAGGAGGCCGAGCUCCAGAUGCGAAAUGCGGCCACAAACAGCUCGAGGAACUUCGAUAAUAAAGUGAAAGUCAGUUACAAUAUAUGGAGGCAGGAGUUCCACCACACAAAUACAGACUCCACGGUGAAGCUCAUGAACGAUCAGAUAAUAAUGGCCAAGGUGUACGCCACCAUUGCACGUUCCCAGAACGAGACCGACUUGUAUGCAUCACUCAUGAAGUGCAUAAAAGAAAGCAAAGCAGCUAUCGGGGAUGCCAAUAUGGACAGUGAACUGGAUUCAAGCGCUUUAGAGAGAGCAAAAGCAAUGGGGCAUGUGUUGUCUUCAGCUAGAGAUGUUCUGUACAACUCUGAUGAAGUGUCGAGAAGAUUACGUGUUAUGCUGCAGUCCGCGGAACUUAAUAUCGACACUGCGAAAAAGCAAAACACGUUCCUGGUUCAGCAUGCUGCAAAGACGGUUCCCAUGCCCUUGCACUGCCUACAUAUGCAGUUGAUAACCGAUUAUCAUCUCCGUGAUGGUGUGAUCAAGGAGUACUUUCAAGCUGCUGCUUUGAAGGACGAAGAAGAUAAAGCAAAGCUUGAGGAUCGGUCACUCUAUCACUAUGCUAUAUUUUCUGAUAAUGUCCUUGCAGCCUCAGUAGUUGUCAGAUCAACCGUGACAAAUGCCAAGGAGCCAAAUAAGCAUGUGUUCCACAUCGUCACUGACAAGCUUAAUUUUGCAGCUAUGAAGAUGUGGUUCAUCAGUCAUUCUCCCCGCCCUGCUACUGUCCAUGUGGAGAACAUUGACAAUUUCAAGUGGCUCAAUUCGUCUUAUUGUUUGGUUAUGCGGCAACUUGACUCAGCUCGUCUCAAGGAAUUUUACUUUAAAGCACAUGAUCCGUCAUCACUCUCUGAUGGGACUGAAAAUCUGAAGUACAGGAACCCAAAAUAUUUGUCUAUGCUCAACCAUCUAAGGUUCUACAUGCCAGAGAUACAUCCCAAGCUUGACAAGAUCCUGUUUCUUGAUGAUGAUGUUGUUGUGCAGAAGGACUUGACACCCCUCUGGGACGUUGAUCUUAAAGGGAUGGUAAAUGGUGCUGUUGAAACCUGCAAAGAAAGUUUCCAUCGCUUCGACACUUAUCUCAACUUCUCACAUCCUAAGAUCUCUGAGAACUUUGAUCCACGUGCUUGUGGUUGGGCUUUUGGAAUGAACAUGUUUGACCUGAAGGAGUGGAGGAAGCGAAACAUCACUGGAAUAUACCAUUAUUGGCAAAAUUUGAAUGAGGAUCGCAAGUUGUGGAAGCUGGGCACAUUACCUCCAGGACUAAUUACAUUCUACAAUUUGACACACCCAUUGGAUCACACUUGGCAUGUCUUGGGCCUUGGCUACGAUCCUGCUGUUGACAUUGCUGAAAUCGAGAAUGCAGCGGUAGUUCACUACAAUGGGAAUUACAAGCCCUGGCUGGACCUUGCCGUUUCCAAGUACAAGGCCUACUGGUCCAAGUAUGUCGAUGUUGACAGCUCACACAUUCAGCGUUGCUACGCAAGCAAACAAUGA